CAGUACUGACGCUGAGAUGCGAAAGCGUGGGGAGCAAACAGGAUAGAUACCCUGGUAGUCACGCUGUAAACGAUGUCGAUUUGGAGUUGCUACCUGAGUGGUGGGCUCCGAAGCUAACGCGAUAAAUCAACCGCUGGGGAGUACGGCCGCAAGGUUAAAACUCAAAUGAAUUGACGGGGGCCCGCACAGCGGUGGAGCAUGUGGUUUAAUUCGAUGCAACGCGAAGAACCUUACCUGGUCUUGACAUCCAUAGAACACUUUAGAGAUAGAGUGGUGCCUUCGGGAGCUAUGAGACAGGUGCUGCAUGGCUGUCGUCAGCUCGUGUUGUGAAAUGUUGGGUUAAGUCCCGCAACGAGCGCAACCCUUAUCCUUUGUUGCCAGCACGUAGAGGUGGGAACUCAAAGGAGACUGCCGUUGAUAAAGCGGAGGAAGGUGGGGACGACGUCAAGUCAUCAUGGCCCUUACGACCAGGGCUACACACGUGCUACAAUGGCGUAUACAAAGGGAGGCGACCUCGCGAGAGCAAGCGGACCUCAUAAAGUACGUCUAAGUCCGGAUUGGAGUCUGCAACUCGACUCCAUGAAGUCGGAAUCGCUAGUAAUCGUGAAUCAGAAUGUCACGGUGAAUACGUUCCCGGGCCUUGUACACACCGCCCGUCACACCAUGGGAGUGGGUUGCACCAGAAGUAGAUAGCUUAACCGCAAGGGGGGCGUUUACCACGGUGUGGUCCAUGACUGGGGUGAAGUCGUAACAAGGUAACCAAGGGCGAAUUCUG
Molecule: ribosomal RNA, 775 nt
Filed under: uncultured Serratia sp.
Lineage: Bacteria; Pseudomonadati; Pseudomonadota; Gammaproteobacteria; Enterobacterales; Yersiniaceae
Description: bacterial SSU rRNA
Rfam family: Bacterial small subunit ribosomal RNA
Source: RNAcentral